ACGGCGUGAUGCGGAUAUUUCCUAAUCAAUUCUUUUAAUCUCUCCCAUGUUUCAUGGAACAUCUCACCAUCCAUCCGGAAAAAAACUUAUGAUGGCUUUUCUAAUUU
Small nucleolar RNA from Elaeis guineensis (African oil palm), 107 nucleotides. The record is from RefSeq and is a predicted model, not a curated record. NCBI's taxonomy places the organism in Eukaryota, Viridiplantae, Streptophyta, Magnoliopsida, Arecales, Arecaceae.